RNAcentral lists this ribosomal RNA (2905 nucleotides) under uncultured bacterium. RNAcentral's name for it is "bacterial LSU rRNA". It matches the Rfam family "Bacterial large subunit ribosomal RNA". The record is from RNAcentral.
ACAACAACAUACCGCACGCGGGGGAUGCCUAGGCACCGGCCGGCGAAGAAGGACGCGGGAAGCGGCGAAACACCCUGGCGAGGCGCUCCAGCCCUUGACCCAGGGGACUCCGAAUGGGAAAACCCCCCAGGCGCGAGCCUGGGAUUCCUUUACAGGAAGGCAAACCCGGGGAAUCGAAACAUCCAAGUACCCGGAGGAAAAUAAAUCAACCGAGAUUCCCUCAGUAGCGGCGAGCGAAGCGGGAGAAGCCCAAACCGCGUUCUGCGCGGGGUAGGCAGGCAUAAUUCUGCGAGUCCGCCUUUGAAGCCCGCUGGAAAGCGGCGCCCGAGCAGGUGACAGCCCUUUAUGGGGUGGAUGAGCGGGAGGCCUGUUCACGAGUAGCCCAGGGCACGUGAAACCCGGGGCGAAGACGGGGGGCCCACCCUCCAAGGCUAAAUACGAGCCGGUGACCGAUAGUGCACAGUACCGUGAGGGAAAGGCGAAAAGAACCCAGCGAUGGGAGUGAAAGAGACCUGAAACCGCGUGCGGGCAUUCUGUCGUAGGGGGCUACAUGCCCCUGACGGCGUGCCUUUUGUUUAAUGAGCCAGCGAGUUGCUCGGCGGCGGCGAGGCUAAGGGGGCCAUUCCCCGGAGCCGUAGCGAAAGCGAGCCUGAAACGGGCGUUUCAGUCGCCGCCGGCAGACACGAAGCCUUAGUGAUCUAUCCGCGCCCAGGCCGAAGCGGGGGUAACACCCCGUGGAGGGCCGAACCGAUAUGCAUUGAAACGCGUCCGGAUGAGGUGCGGAUAGGGGUGAAAGGCCAACCAAACUGGGCGAUAGCUUGUUCUCUCCGAAAAAUAUUUAGGUAUUGCGUCUGGCGAUCCCUUGCGGGGGUAGAGCACCGGAUGGACUAGGGGGCGCACCCGCCUACCAAACCCAACCGAACUCCGAAUACCGCAAGGCCCAGCCAGGCAGGCAGCCCGCGGGCGAUAAGGUCAGCGGACGAAAGGGGAACAACCCGGACCACCGACUAAGCGCCCCCAAGCGCGCGCUAAGUGAGAAAGGAGGUGGCGGGGCUCGGACAGCCAGGAGGUUGGCUUAGAAGCAGCCAUCCUUUAAAGAAAGCGUAACAGCUCACUGGUCGAUGCCCUGCCGCGCCUAAAAUUAUCGGGGCUAAGCGCGCCGCCGAAGUCGUGGAUUUUGCAGCGAUGCAAAGUGGUAGGAGAGCGUCCCGUAGGCCUGGGAAGGCGGCUGGCGAUGGCCGCUGGAGGCAUCGGGAAUGAGAAUGCUGGCAUGAGUAUGCGAAAACGCGGGUGGAAAGCCCGCGCGCCGAAAGCCCAAGGGUUCCCGGGGAAGGUUAGUCCGCCCGGGGUGAGCCGGACCCUAAGGCGAGGCCGAGAGGCGCAGCCGACGGGAAGGGGGCCAAGACUCCCCCGCCCGCACGAGGGCGUUUGACCGACGCGGCGACGCGCGGGGCAGGGCGUAGCGGCUGACGGAUGCCGCGGAAGGGAAGUAGGGAGCCGGGGCGGCAAAUCCCCCCGGCAUAUGCCCGAGACCCCUGACCGGAGGAGGGCUUCGGCCCGAAUCCGAGUCGCCCCAGCCCGCGCCAGGAAAACCCGCUAAGGGAGCACUCGUGCGGACCGUACCCGAAACCGACACAGGUGGGCAGGGCGAGAAGCCCUAGGCGCUUGAGACAACCCGGGAGAAGGAACUCGGCAAAAUGGCCCCGUAACUUCGGGACAAGGGGCGCCCCCGGCCGUCAAUGGGAACACCAUGAAGCGGCGGGGGGCCGCAGUGAAACGGCAGAAGCGACUGUUUACCAAAAACACAGGGCAAUGCGAACCCGCAAGGGGAAGUAUAUUGUCUGACACGUGCCCGGUGCCGGAAGGUUAACGGGAGGCGUCAGGGGGGCAACCCCCGAAGCGGCGAACCGAAGCCCCGGUAAACGGCGGCCGUAACUAUAACGGUCCUAAGGUAGCGAAAUUCCUUGUCGGGUAAGUUCCGACCUGCACGAAUCGUGUAACGACUUCUGCGCUGUCUCCUCCCGAGACUCAGCGAAAUUGCAGUGCCGGUGAAGAUGCCGGCGCCCCGCGCCUGGACGGAAAGACCCCAUGAACCUUCACUGCAUCUUGGCACUGGCUUUAGGCGCCGCGCGCGUAGGAUAGGCGGGAGGCUAUGAUCCCCGGCUUCUGGGCCGGGGGGAGCCGUCGUUGAAAUACCGCCCUUGCGUUGCCUGAAUCCUAACCGCGCUCCCUUGCGGGAGCCGGGACAAUGCCUGGUGGCCAGUUUGACUGGGGCGGUCGCCUCCCAAAAAGUAACGGAGGCAUCCAAAGGUCCCCUCGGGCCGGUCGGCAACCGGCCGCGCGAGCGCAAAGGCAGAAGGGGGCUUGACUGCGAGACCGACGGGUCGAGCAGAUGCGAAAGCAGGGCUUAGUGAUCCCGCGGCACAGCGUGGAACGGCCGUUGCUCAAUGGAUAAAAGGUACUCUGGGGAUAACAGGCUGAUCUCCCCCAAGCGUCCAUAGCGACGGGGAGGUUUGGCACCUCGAUGUCGGCUCGUCGCAUCCUGGGGCUGGAGAAGGUCCCAAGGGUUUGGCUGUUCGCCAAUUAAAGCGGCACGCGAGCUGGGUUCAGAACGUCGUGAGACAGUUCGGUCCCUAUCCGGCGCGGGCGCACAAGGCUUGAGGGACGCCGUCCUUAGUACGAGAGGACCGGGACGGGGGCGCCUACGGCGAACCGGCUGUCGCGCCAGCGGCACGGCCGGGUAGCCGCGCGCCCUGCGGAGAAGCGCUGAAUGCAUCUAAGCGCGAAGCCGCUCCCAAGAUGAGGCCUGACGGGUCCGCCGGAGAACACGGCGUGGAUAGGGCGCAGGCAUAAGCGGCGCGAGCCGUUAACCCGAGCGCUACUAAUAGACCCUGCUUUUCCCCAU